AAUUAGGUAGUAAUAGUUAUGACCUUGAAACUUUAAGAAUUUGACGGUAAUUCAUUCAUUU
This 61-nucleotide transfer RNA is filed under the name Characopygus scythicus. RNAcentral's name for it is "tRNA-Ser". Lineage: Eukaryota; Metazoa; Arthropoda; Insecta; Hymenoptera; Cephidae. The record is from RNAcentral.